RNAcentral lists this long non-coding RNA (210 nucleotides) under Manihot esculenta (cassava). Its description in RNAcentral is "long non-coding RNA (MESC_LNC013064)". The record is from RNAcentral. Lineage: Eukaryota; Viridiplantae; Streptophyta; Magnoliopsida; Malpighiales; Euphorbiaceae.
CUCCAAAGACUUUUCAUGCAAAAACUCAUUUUAUUUAAUACUUAAAAAUCAUAAAACACAUUAAAACAUUUUUAUAAAACAUGAUUCUACCCUUCUAGAGGUCUCCGACAUCCGACAUUCCACCGGACGGUAGGAAUUCCGAUACCGGAGUCUAGCCGGGUAUUACAUUCUCCCCCCCUUAAGAACAUUCGUCCCUGAAUGUUCCUCAAC